RNAcentral lists this small RNA (74 nucleotides) under Escherichia coli. RNAcentral describes it as "isrK". Lineage: Bacteria; Pseudomonadati; Pseudomonadota; Gammaproteobacteria; Enterobacterales; Enterobacteriaceae. The record is from RNAcentral.
AUCUCCCAAAUGGAGAUCGGGAUUUGCAACCCGGAAUUGUUAGGGGCGACACCAGACGCGCCAGUGUCUUUUUU